RNAcentral lists this ribosomal RNA (2835 nucleotides) under Oscillospiraceae bacterium. Its description in RNAcentral is "23S ribosomal RNA". It matches the Rfam family "Bacterial large subunit ribosomal RNA". The record is from RNAcentral. Lineage: Bacteria; Bacillati; Bacillota; Clostridia; Eubacteriales; Oscillospiraceae.
GGUCAAGCGAACAAGGGCGCAGGGCGAAUGCCUUGGCACUGGGAGCCGAUGAAAGACGUGAUAAGCUGCGAUAAGCUUCGGGGAGCUGCAAAUAAGCAUUGAUCCGGAGAUUUCUGAAUGAGGAAACUCACCUGGGUUCAUACUCAGGUACGUUAUACUGAACUUCAAAAUAGGUAUAUCGAGGGAACCGCCUGAACUGAAACAUCUAAGUAGGGCGAGGAAGAGACAUCAAACGAGAUUCCGUAAGUAGUGGCGAGCGAACGCGGAAGAGGGCAAACCGAGAGUAGAAAUACUUUCGGGGUACGGACUGCUUUUAGGACUUAAUCUGUUAACCGAACGGCAUGGGAAGGCCGGUCAGAGAGUGUGAGAACCACGUAGGUGAAAACGGAGAGAGCUGCGCAGGAUCCAGAGUACGGCCAGACACGUGAAACCUGGUCGGAAUACGGGGGGACCACCCUCCAACCCUAAAUACUACCCAGUGACCGAUAGCGUAUAGUACUGUGAAGGAAAGGUGAAAAGCACCCCGGGAGGGGAGUGAAAAAGAACCUGAAACCCUGUGCCUACAAGCACCUAGAGCGCGUCAAAGCGUGAUAGGGUACUUUUUGUAGAACGGUCCGGCGAGCGAUUGUAUGCAGCAAGGUUAAGGACUUAAGGUCUGGAGCCGAAGCGAAAGCGAGUUUGAAAAGGGCGUUAAGUUGCAUAUAAUGGGCCCGAAACCGGGUGACCUACCCAUGGUCAGGUUGAAGUGGAAGUAAAAUUCCAUGGAGGACCGAACCGACCUCCGUUGAAAAGGCGGCGGAUGAACUGUGGGUAGCGGAGAAAUUCCAAUCGAACCCGGAGAUAGCUGGUUCUCCCCGAAAUAGUUUUAGGACUAGCCUCAAGUUAGAUACCUGGAGGUAAAGCACUGAAUAGCCUAGCGGCCGAGAGGUUAGCGAAGCUUAUCAAACUCAGAAUGCCAGAGUAUUGAUGCUUGGGAGUCAGACAGUGUCAGAUAAAUGUCAUUGUCAAAAGGGAAACAGCCCAGAUCUACAGCUAAGGUCCCAAAGUCAGGUUAAGUGGAAAACGAUGUGAAGAUACGUAGACAACCAGGAUGUUGGCUCAGAAGCAGCCACUCAUUCAAAGAGUGCGUAAUAGCUCACUGGUCGAGCGUCUUUGCGCGGAGAAUUUAACGGGGCUAAACCUGACACCGAAGCUUAGGCAGCAUGUUUACAUGCUGGGUAGGGGAGCGUUGUAUACGCGGUGAAACAGUAGCGCAAGCGGCUGUGGAGUGUAUAGAAGUGAGAAUGCCGGAAUGAGUAGCGCGAAUGCAGUGAGAAUCUGCAUGGCCGAAAGCCUCAGGUUUCUGGAGGAAGGUUCGUCCGCUCCAGGUCAGUCGGGAGCUAAGGUGAGGCCUAACGGCGUAGCCGAUGCACAGACGGUAGAGAUUCCGUCACCACCAAAAGAGUUAAACACAGGGACACAUAUGAAGUCUCGGAGCCGGGUGUUGGUUCCGGUAGCGAUCGAGGGAAAUUAGUACCGAAGUCCGGGAUGGAAGAUGGCGAGAAAAGCUGUGUGUAUUUCUGCGGUGCCCGUACCGCAAACCGACACAGGUAGGUAGGAAGAAGAUUCUAAGGCCAACGGGAGAAGGGUUGUUAAGGAACUCGGCAAAUUGACCCCGUAACUUCGGGAGAAGGGGUGCUGCAGCAAUGCAGCCGCAGAGAAUCGGCCCAAGCAACUGUUUACCAAAAACACAGGUUUGUGCUAAAUCGAAAGAUGACGUAUACGAGCUGACGCCUGCCCGGUGCUGGAAGGUUAAGAGGAGAUGUGCAAGCAUUGAAUCGAAGCCCCAGUGAACGGCGGCCGUAACUAUAACGGUCCUAAGGUAGCGAAAUUCCUUGUCAGGUAAGUUCUGACCCGCAUGAAAGGCGUAAUGAUUUGGGCACUGUCUCAACAGCCCGCCCGGCGAAAUUGUAGUACCGGUGAAGAUGCCGGUUACCCGCGACAAGACGGAAAGACCCCAUGGAGCUUUACUGUAGCCUAAUAUUGGGUUUCGAUGUUGCAUGCACAGGAUAGAUGGGACACUGGGAAGCAGGUGCUUUGGCGCUUGUGGAGUGGCCGUUGGGAUACCAUCCUUGCGAUAUUGGAAUUCUAACCUGCGCCUUUGAAUCAAGGCGGGGGACAUUGUUAGGUGGGCAGUUUGACUGGGGCGGUCGCCUCCUAAAGAGUAACGGAGGCGUUCAAAGGUUCGCUCAGCUUGAACGGAAAUCAAGCAAAAGAGUGCAAACGCAGAAGCGAGCCUAACUGCGAGACUGACGGGUCGAGCAGUAACGAAAGUUGGAGUUAGUGAUCCGGUGGUAUGUGAGUGGAAAUGCCAUCGCUCAACGGAUAAAAGUUACCCUGGGGAUAACAGGCUGAUCUCCCCCAAGAGUCCACAUCGACGGGGAGGUUUGGCACCUCGAUGUCGGCUCAUCGCAUCCUGGGGCUGUAUUCGGUCCCAAGGGUUUGGCUGUUCGCCAAUUAAAGCGGUACGCGAGCUGGGUUCAGAACGUCGUGAGACAGUUCGGUCCCUAUCUGUCGUGGGCGCAGGAUAUUUGAUGGGAGCUGUUCCUAGUACGAGAGGACCGGAGCGGACGUACCUCUGGCGCACCAGUUGUUCUGCCAAGAGCAUAGCUGGGCAACUAUGUACGGAUCGGAUAAACGCUGAAAGCAUCUAAGCGUGAAGCCGACCCAAAGAUAAGAUAUCCCAUUGUUUCAAACAAGUAAGACCCCUUGAAGACUACAAGGUUGAUAGGCACGAUGUGUAAGUGGAGCGAUCCAUUCAGCAAGCGUGUACUAAUAGGUCGAGGGCUUGACCAC